This 253-nucleotide ribosomal RNA is filed under the name uncultured bacterium. RNAcentral describes it as "partial 16S ribosomal RNA". It matches the Rfam family "Bacterial small subunit ribosomal RNA", at positions 524 to 776 of the family's 1533-position model. The record is from RNAcentral.
UACGUAGGGUGCGAGCGUUAAUCGGAAUUACUGGGCGUAAAGCGCGCGCAGGCGGUUCUUUAAGUCUGAUGUGAAAGCCCCGGGCUCAACCUGGGAAUGGCAGUGGAAACUAGGGGACUUGAAUCUGGCAGAGGGGGGUGGAAUUCCACGUGUAGCAGUGAAAUGCGUAGAUAUCAGGAGGAACACCGGUGGCGAAGGCGGCUUCCUGGACAAUAACUGACGCUGAGGCGCGAAAGCUAGGGGAGCAAACAGG